This 73-nucleotide transfer RNA is filed under the name Canis lupus familiaris (dog). It matches the Rfam family "tRNA". Rfam says of the family: Transfer RNA (tRNA) molecules are approximately 80 nucleotides in length. Their secondary structure includes four short double-helical elements and three loops (D, anti-codon, and T loops). RNAcentral also lists the same sequence under 1 other name. Lineage: Eukaryota; Metazoa; Chordata; Mammalia; Carnivora; Canidae. The record is from Rfam by way of RNAcentral.
GCCUGGCUGGUUCAGUUGGUAGAGCAUAGGACUCUUGAUCUUGGGGUUGUGAGUUCCAACCCUAUGACGGGUG